This 253-nucleotide ribosomal RNA is filed under the name uncultured bacterium. RNAcentral's name for it is "partial 16S ribosomal RNA". It matches the Rfam family "Bacterial small subunit ribosomal RNA", at positions 524 to 776 of the family's 1533-position model. The record is from RNAcentral.
UACGAAGGGGGCUAGCGUUGUUCGGAAUUACUGGGCGUAAAGGGCGCGUAGGCGGUUGGAUAAGUCAGCUGUGAAAACCACGGGCUUAACUCGUGGCCUGCAGUUGAGACUGUCUGGCUUGAGUGUGGGAGAGGAGAGUGGAAUUCCUGGUGUAGCGGUGAAAUGCGUAGAUAUCAGGAGGAACACCGGUGGCGAAGGCGGCUCUCUGGACCACAACUGACGCUGAGGCGCGAAAGCUAGGGGAGCAAACAGG